RNAcentral lists this ribosomal RNA (465 nucleotides) under uncultured bacterium. RNAcentral's name for it is "bacterial SSU rRNA". It matches the Rfam family "Bacterial small subunit ribosomal RNA", at positions 55 to 518 of the family's 1533-position model. The record is from RNAcentral.
AUGCAAGUCGAGCGGAGUCGGUAAGAGGAAGUUUCGGAUGGAAUCUUAUUGAUUUAGCGGCGGACGGGUGAGUAACGCGUGAGCGACCAACCUUGCACAGGGGAUAACGGACCGAAGGUUCACUAAUACCGCAUGAGACCACGGUGUUGCAUGACACAGAGGUCAAAGGAGCAAUCCGGUGCAAGACGGGCUCGCGUCCGAUUAGGUAGUUGGAGGGUAACGGCCCACCAAGCCUAUGAUCGGUAGCCGACCUGAGAGGUGAUCGGCCACAUUGGAACUGAGAUACGGUCCAAACUCCGUACGGGAGGCAGCAGUGGGGAAUAUUGGGCUAAAAUGGGAGAAACCCUGACCCAGCAACGCCGCGUGAAGGAAGAAGGUUUUCGGAUUGUAAACUUCUGUCCUUGGUGAAGAGAAGAAGACGGUAGCCAAGGAGGAAGCCCCGGCUAACUACGUGCCAGCCGCGGC